GAUAAACGCUGGCGGUGUACAUAAGACAUGCAAGUCGAACGGGAGAAGACAGGAAGAUUUAUCUACUUGUUGGACACCGUGGCGGACGGGUGAGUAACACGUAAGCAACCUGCCUAUAAGAGGGGAAUAACAGUGAGAAAUUACUGAUAAUACCGCAUAAGCUGGAGGUAUCGCAUGAUACAUUCAGAAAAGAUUUAUCGCUUAUAGAUGGGCUUGCGUCUGAUUAGCUAGUUGGUGAGAUAACAGCUCACCAAGGCGACGAUCAGUAGCCGGAUUGAGAGGUUGAACGGCCACAUUGGGACUGAGACACGGCCCAGACUCCUACGGGAGGCAGCAGUCGGGAAUAUUGCACAAUGGAGGAAACUCUGAUGCAGUGACACCGCGUAUAGGAAGAAGGUCUUAGGAUUGUAAGCUAUUGUCGUGUGAGAAGAAAAUGACCAUCACAGGAGGAGCCC
Molecule: ribosomal RNA, 455 nt
Filed under: Clostridiales bacterium oral taxon 075
Lineage: Bacteria; Bacillati; Bacillota; Clostridia; Eubacteriales
Description: bacterial SSU rRNA
Rfam family: Bacterial small subunit ribosomal RNA
Source: RNAcentral